RNAcentral lists this ribosomal RNA (908 nucleotides) under uncultured bacterium. Its description in RNAcentral is "bacterial SSU rRNA". It matches the Rfam family "Bacterial small subunit ribosomal RNA", at positions 33 to 932 of the family's 1533-position model. The record is from RNAcentral.
ACGCUAGCUACAGGCUUAACACAUGCAAGUCGAGGGGAAACGGCAUUGAGUGCUUGCACUCUUUGGACGUCGACCGGCGCACGGGUGAGUAACGCGUAUCCAACCUUCCCAUUAUUGUGGGAUAACCUGCCGAAAGGCAGACUAAUGCCGCAUAGUCUUCGAUGACGGCAUCAGAUUUGAAGUAAAGAUUUAUCGGUAAUGGAUGGGGAUGCGUCUGAUUAGCUUGUUGGCGGGGUAACGGCCCACCAAGGCGACGAUCAGUAGGGGUUCUGAGAGGAAGGUCCCCCACAUUGGAACUGAGACACGGUCCAAACUCCUACGGGAGGCAGCAGUGAGGAAUAUUGGUCAAUGGACGGAAGUCUGAACCAGCCAAGUAGCGUGCAGGAUGACGGCCCUAUGGGUUGUAAACUGCUUUUGUAUGGGGAUAAAGUUAGGGACGUGUCCCUAUUUGCAGGUACCAUACGAAUAAGGACCGGCUAAUUCCGUGCCAGCAGCCGCGGUAAUACGGAAGGUCCAGGCGUUAUCCGGAUUUAUUGGGUUUAAAGGGAGCGUAGGCUGGAGAUUAAGUGUGUUGUGAAAUGUAGACGCUCAACGUCUGAAUUGCAGCGCAUACUGGUUUCCUUGAGUACGCACAACGUUGGCGGAAUUCGUCGUGUAGCGGUGAAAUGCUUAGAUAUGACGAAGAACUCCGAUUGCGAAGGCAGCUGACGGGAGCGCAACUGACGCUUAAGCUCGAAGGUGCGGGUAUCAAACAGGAUUAGAUACCCUGGUAGUCCGCACAGUAAACGAUGGAUGCCCGCUGUUGGUACCUGGUAUCAGCGGCUAAGCGAAAGCAUUAAGCAUCCCACCUGGGGAGUACGCCGGCAACGGUGAAACUCAAAGGAAUUGACGGGGGCCCGCACAAGCGG